UUCGAGAGAGAAACGAAGUCACAUUUUGGGUCUCCCCCAAUAUCAAUCUCAUCAAGAAAUAUUACACUCUCCAAAACGCCAACCCCCCUUCUCUCUCUCUUUCAUUUCUCGUUGCUCACUUCACUUCGGGGCCAUUGAAGCUCCGCUUACCUGAGAUCUCUUUCUCUCUCCUCACUCACUCUCUCGUUUCGCAAAUUGUUCAUCGCUCGAUUCUAAAAUUCGAUUCCGAUUUCGAUCACUACUCACACUUGAUUGUCGGCAGAUUUAAUCCUCCAACAAUGCCUCUCCGCCUCAAUAUCAAGAGGAAACUUGCUCAAAGAUCAGAGAGAGUAAAGUCUGUGGAUCUACAUCCAACAGAACCAUGGAUAUUAGCGAGUCUUUAUUCAGGAACUGUUGUUAUCUGGAACUACCAGUCACAGUCCAUGGCAAAGUCGUUCGAAGUGUCUGAGUUACCAGUUAGGUCAGCAAAGUUUAUUUCACGGAAACAAUGGGUUGUUGCCGGAGCGGAUGACAUGUAUAUACGUGUGUACAACUACAACACCAUGGAUAAAGUUAAAGUAUAUGAGGCUCAUACAGAUUAUAUUAGGUGUGUAGCUGUACACCCCACACUCCCAUAUGUGCUUUCAUCAUCUGAUGAUAUGCUCAUUAAGCUUUGGGAUUGGGAGAAGGGUUGGGUUUGCACUCAAAUAUUUGAAGGACAUUCCCACUAUGUGAUGCAAGUCACUAUUAACCCCAAAGAUACCAACACCUUUGCCAGUGCUUCCCUUGAUCGUACCAUAAAGAUCUGGAAUCUUGGCUCACCUGAUCCAAAUUUUACUUUGGAUGCCCAUCUAAAAGGGGUAAAUUGUGUUGACUACUUUACCGGCGGUGACAAGCCAUAUCUGAUUACUGGUUCUGAUGAUCACACUGCGAAGGUCUGGGAUUAUCAGACAAAAAGCUGUGUUCAGACUUUGGAAGGGCACACACACAACGUUUCUGCUGUCUGUUUUCAUCCAGAACUUCCCAUAAUUAUUACCGGUUCUGAGGAUGGAACAGUUCGAAUAUGGCAUUCAACUACGUACAGGCUUGAGAAUACCCUUAACUAUGGUCUUGAAAGGGUUUGGGCUAUCGGAUACAUGAAGAGCUCUCGUCGUGUUGUGAUCGGGUAUGAUGAAGGAACCAUAAUGGUGAAAAUGGGUCGUGAAAUUCCUGUUGCUAGCAUGGAUAAUAGUGGAAAGAUUAUAUGGGCUAAGCAUAACGAGAUUCAGACUGUGGAUAUCAGGCGUGUUGGUGCUGGUUAUGAGGUGACUGAUGGUGAAAGGUUGCCAUUGGCGGUAAAGGAGUUGGGAUCUUGUGAUCUUUACCCGCAGUUUUUAAAGCACAACCCCAAUGGGAGGUUUGUGGUGGUUUGUGGAGAUGGAGAGUACAUCAUUUACACGGCUGUCGCUUGGAGGAAUAGGUCUUUUGGUUCAGCUUUGGAGUUUGUUUGGUCAUCUGAAGGAGAAUAUGCUGUUAGAGAAAGCACUUCCAAGAUCAAGAUUUUCAGCAAAAAUUUCCAGGAAAAGAAGAGUAUCCGUCCCACUUUUUCUGCAGAUCGUAUAUAUGGUGGAACUUUGUUGGCCAUGUGCUCUAAUGAUUUCAUUUGUUUCUAUGACUGGGCUGAAUGCAGAUUUAUCCGGAGGAUUGAUGUCAAUGUUAAAAAUCUUUACUGGGCUGAUAGUGGUGACUUGGUGGCUAUUGCUAGUGACACAUCUUUCUACAUCCUCAAGUACAAUCGCGAUGCUGUGGCCUCCUACGUGGAUAGCGGGAAGCCAAUUGAUGAACAAGGCUUGGAGGAAGCAUUUGAACUUCUCCAUGAAACAAAUGAACGUGUCAGAACAGGAAUUUGGGUUGGAGAUUGUUUCAUUUAUAAUAACUCCUCCUGGAGGCUUAAUUACUGUGUUGGUGGUGAGGUAACCACAAUGUUUCACUUGGACCGUCCAAUGUACCUAUUGGGCUACCUUGCUAGUCAGAGUCGGGUGUAUCUUAUUGACAAAGAAUUCAAUGUUAUUGGAUACACAUUACUCCUUAGCUUGAUUGAAUACAAGACUCUUGUGAUGCGUGGAGAUAUUGAACGUGCCGAUGAGCUGUUACCUACAAUUCCAAAAGAGCACCAUAAUAGUGUGGCUCGAUUCCUUGAAUCACGUGGUAUGGUCGCGGAGGCUCUUGAAGUGGCGACUGACCCUGAUUAUAAGUUUGACCUUGCCAUACAACUCAGCAGACUAGAAAUUGCAAAGGAAAUAGCUACAGAAGUCCAGAGUGAGUCAAAGUGGAAGCAGUUGGGAGAAUUGGCUUUGUCUUCAGGAAAGUUUGAAAUGGCAGAAGAAUGCCUGAAGAAUGCGAUGGAUUUCAGUGGCAUGUUGCUGCUUUAUUCAUCAAUUGGAGAUGCCGAUGGAAUUUCAAAGCUUGCUUCCCUAGCUAAAGAGCAAGGGAAAAACAAUGUUGCUUUCCUUUGCUUAUUUAUGUUGGGUAAAUUGGAAGAGUGUCUUCAGCUAUUGAUAGACAGUAACCGAAUACCUGAGGCUGCUUUGAUGGCACGUUCUUAUCUUCCCAGCAAAGUUUCAGAAAUUGUUGAAUUAUGGAGAAAGGAUCUCAACAAGGUAAAUCCAAAGGCUGCUGAAUCGUUGGCAGAUCCGCAGGAGUAUCCAAAUUUGUUUGAGGACUGGCAAAUUGCUCUUGCUGUUGAAUCUAAAGUUUCUGAGAUAAGGGGCAAUUAUCCUCCCGCUGAGCAAUACUUGCAAUAUGCCGAGAAAUCAAAAAUUGAUCUGGUUGAAGCCUUUAAGAGCAUGCAAAUAGAGGAAGAUCAACCCCUCGAAAAUGGAGACACAGUGCACGAGGACGAGGUGUAUGAAGACGAGGUGCAUGAAGAUGAGAAUGAAGCAGAUGAAAGUCAGGAAGAGGGUGUUGUUGUAGAUGCUGAUUCUAAUGAUGGUGCUGUGCUCGUCAACGGUAACGAAACCGAAGAAUGGGGUACGAAUAAUGACGGAACCCCAUCAGCUUAAAGGCAAUUGGUUGGGCCAGUGUUGAAAAUCCAAAUUUUGUCUCUGUGCUUACUCAACAUCCAUAAGGUCCCUAAAACUGCUGGUUUUGGCUUGUACACAUCUUUGCUUAAGCAGGUUUGGACGGGACGGAAGGUUAAGGGGCUGGAUUAUUCAAUCGGGUUGUUUUGUAGCGCUUGGAAUUUCCGAUGAAGGGUCACAUUUUAGAUACAGCUAUUCAUAUUUCUGUUUCUUUUAUCUUUUUAGUUAAUUUUCAUAGGAUAUUCUUUGUGGCCUUCUCCUAACCAUCUUUAAAAGAGUAAAAUACAAAUUGUUAUUGUGAAUGUAGAAAGUUUUUUCCCCUUAUAUAUAUAUAGUAUGCGUUGUUUUUUUUAGUUUAGGCUGAUCAGCCCAUAAUAUUUGAUCUACGUAUUUGGGUUUGUAAGUUGCGGCACAGUUUAAUAGGAGAAUUCUGCAGAGGCCAGUCUCUAUUGAGUGUAAUAGAGUUUUGUCCUGUGAGAGAGUAUGCUAAUAAAUAUUGUGUAUUCGACUUUUUUUUUUUGGUAUUUACAGACUAGUUAAUCUUAAGAGAUUUAAUUUUGAUA
Molecule: RNA transcript, 3601 nt
Organism: Spinacia oleracea (spinach)
Lineage: Eukaryota; Viridiplantae; Streptophyta; Magnoliopsida; Caryophyllales; Amaranthaceae
Gene name: coatomer subunit beta'-2
Exons: 26
Source: RefSeq, a predicted model, not a curated record